GGAACAGGGACGCGUAGGUGUUCAGUGUGCCAGUUCAAAGCGAAUGUCUUUGCUGGUUGCUCAUGGGUGGAACAUUGAACUGGGUGUGGAGUGAGAUUCGUCUCGUGUUAGUACGGCCUUCGGGUUGGGAACGCAUGGUCGGGUGGAGUUCUGCGCAUGCACGCUGUUGGGUCCUGAGGGAUCGGGCUGGUUGCCUUUGGGUGGCUGGGUCGGCUCUUUGGAUCUUUUUCUCACGCCUGGGUGUGUGGGGGAAGGGUACCUCCCGUAUUUUGAGAACUACACAGUGGACGCGAGCAUCUUUGAUACAGGACUUAAAAUCCUGCAUCAAAAGAUUUGCGGGAAUGCUUUCGGGUGUUUCUGUAGAUCAUUGGAUCUGCAACUUUUCGAGUUGUGGUUCCUUUAACUCAUGUGAUUUCAAGUUUUUAAGAGCAAACGGUGGUGGCCCUUGGGCAA
This 453-nucleotide unclassified non-coding RNA is filed under the name Rathayibacter iranicus. RNAcentral describes it as "partial contains 16S ribosomal RNA, 16S-23S ribosomal RNA intergenic spacer, and 23S ribosomal RNA". Lineage: Bacteria; Bacillati; Actinomycetota; Actinomycetes; Micrococcales; Microbacteriaceae. The record is from RNAcentral.